UUGUUGUGUGAAUUAUUUUGUAUUAGGCUCAAUGUUUACCUAAUAGUACUCUUUGAGGGGGAAAACGGAACUGGCCCGGUGGCAAAGGAGUGAUUUUCGGAUGGGCUUUCUUGGUGGCCCCCUUACAAGGACAAGGUCCAAAUUCUUAGAAAUGUCCAAAAGAGGCUUGUCCCACAACCAUUGAAGGGAUGGAAGCAGUACGCUGCACGCAUGCUCUUCGAAUCAGUCACAACAUGAAGUUGGAUGCAGGAAUUGGAGGCCAGACCAGUGACAUACUGCCAUCAAGGGCCAACUUUAUCAGAAUGUCCAAGAUCUCACCUUCCUAACACCAAUCAACUCAUCCCACCUAACUGCACUGCAGUUGAAAGGAUCCUCCUGGAACAGCUGGGGGAACUUCACCUCAAGGUGGCCAUUGUACAGUCACUCAGUGACAACAGAGUUCAAGACCAACAACCCGCAAGCAAUGAACACAACCAAAUCUCCACAUUAGAAAAGCUAAAUACAUUUGAUGAAAGACUUGGCCAGUACAGAGAUUUUAAGAAACGUGUGUUAUGUACUCUAAUACUUUGAGGGGCUACACAAAGGGGUAUCCAUAGCUUUAUUGUGUUGCAGUAUAAUUCUUAACAACCUUCAUGUGUUGUAGCCCAGCCUUUUUCUCGACUCAGUCCUCAGGGCCCACCAGUUAUUCCAGUGUUGGAAUACAUUAAAUAUAUGAAAUGGCUGGAAGUCCCUGGGGAAUGGGACAAGAAAUUCACCUUAUUCAACUUCAGUGGGGAGCUGAUUAGUUGAGUCAGUUGUUGGUGCUGGGCUGAAAAAAUCCAGACAAGAAAUGAUGAACUAAUGUGUUCUGAAAGUAACGGACAUAUUUGAAAGACAACAAGAUUUGCAUUGUCUGUAACACUCAAUGCUUUAAUGCCGUAUUUUCAUUACAGAUUGCAAAACUGUCCAUAACUGGGGGAAACUCUGUUAACCCUUGUGUUAUCUUCGGGUCAUUCUGACCCAUCAGCCGUGUGACCCACCGUCGUAUUGCGACAAAUUUACCUCAUACAAAAACAAAGUGAAGCAUUUUCUUUUAACCGUUGGGCUGUCUCAGACCCCCCACAUUGCAAAGGUUAAAAGAAAAUGAUUUUUAUUAGUUUUUGUAUUGGGUAAAACUGGGUAAACACAAUGAUGGUUCGUUAUGAACCUUUGGGUCAUGUGACCCGAAGGCAGCACAAGGGUUAAAAGAACAGUGUGCGGGAGGGUCUUCACACCUGAACUAGCCACCAAAUUAAAUUAGUGUGGGAGAGGACAGAAGACUGGCAUCAAGUCAAGACCAGUCAAGGAAAAUAUACUGUUGUCAGUUCUUAGAAAUGGAGUCCUGCCAAACAUGUCCGAAGCUGAAGUAGAGAAAUCCAUGCAAAAUUGGCUCAGG
Osmerus eperlanus (European smelt) is the source of this 1414-nucleotide long non-coding RNA. RefSeq lists it as uncharacterized. Lineage: Eukaryota; Metazoa; Chordata; Actinopteri; Osmeriformes; Osmeridae. The record is from RefSeq and is a predicted model, not a curated record. The transcript is spliced from 5 exons.